This is an RNA transcript of Oxyura jamaicensis (ruddy duck), 657 nucleotides long. It is a transcript of the gene named band 4.1-like protein 4B, with no coding region annotated. The record is from RefSeq and is a predicted model, not a curated record. The transcript has 4 exons. Lineage: Eukaryota; Metazoa; Chordata; Aves; Anseriformes; Anatidae.
GAAUUUGUGAGAUAGUGUUAUUUGUUACAUGAGAGUCAAUUAUGUGGUACAUGUGGAUGGUUUCAUAACUGUCCUGGGUUCUGACAAAUUCAGGCAAAUGUCAGUAUGAGUAUUCCCUUAAGCUGUAGUGUGACAUCCCAAUGACAAUAGCUGUAAAAUGACUGAUGUUUCACAUGCCUUACAUUUUUUGUUUGAUUUUUAAGCAAACAAUCCUGUGAAAGCAGCACAACUGUGUGCUAAAAAUACUCCUGAAGUUCAUAACUACCAGCCACAGUAUCAUCCUAAUAUACAUCCUGCUCAGCCACACUGGCAUCCACACACCCCUGGGAACAUAAGGCCACCCUAUCAUGAUGACAGGCCAUAUUGGAAACCCCCCACAAGUGGAGAGGACAACAGUUUACGAUAUAUUCAAGAACAGAACCAGAAGAAUUUAGGAGAAGUCCAAAGUAUGGUGUACCAAGAUAAACUCAUGACGACUCUCUGAAAAAGUCACCUUCAUUUCAUCUGCCAUCUUAGAUGAUCAUUGCAUUCCAUGGUCCUUGUCUGUCUGCAGUACGUUCAAAGUGUAUUGUGCAUAAAGUGUGUCUUUAUACGUACAUCCAUCCUUGUUUAGUGUUCAUGGACAUUCUUGGGAAAAGUAUUUUUCGUAUCUUUGUU